AUAUGCCAAUAUAUACAUAAUUAACAUACCAAGUUCAACUUCGACGAAUAAUCUAAUCAUAUAUCAUAAAAAAAAAUUUCUGUCCAAUCUUAAACAACUUUUGAAGAAUGAACACUUACCUUGUCACUGCAUAAUCAACUUCAAACUAGAAGUAAUAUCAUAGUAUUACUUUCAUAUUAAAUUUGAGCUUGUAAUUCACUUAAAUAAUUAAUGAUUAAAUUAAUAAUCAUAAUAAAUAAUAA
RNAcentral lists this long non-coding RNA (242 nucleotides) under Elaeis guineensis (African oil palm). Its description in RNAcentral is "long non-coding RNA (EGUI_LNC033918)". Lineage: Eukaryota; Viridiplantae; Streptophyta; Magnoliopsida; Arecales; Arecaceae. The record is from RNAcentral.